GACCGCAAUUCACAAAAGAGACCCUCCAUGUAUUUUUUCAUCUUCCUCACCCCCAUCUUCUCACAAGAAUGGAGCAGCCAUAAAUGACCAGCAAACUCGCCAGAAAACCUCCAACAGCCAUCGCUCCUUUACCACCAUAAUUGGCCGGAAUCUGGCGACCAUACACACACAUACAGCAAAAAAAAAAGACACGGGAAAAAUGAAGGAAAAAGACUAGAUAAUGGGAGCAAAACACACACACACAGAUAGUAGAGAGGAAAACAAAGAGAGCUAACGUAACAUUGAUCACUUUCUUCUUCUUCCGAGCUGUUAACCCUCCAUAAGAAUGACAAAAAUAGAACAACGAAUUCAGAUUUUGUUUGGAUUUUGAUUCUGAUAGUCACUUUUUUGAUUUCAUCUUAGUUCAUUGAUAUUAAGGAAAAGAUUUCGGUUGAUUUUUAGCUUCUGUUUUGAUUUCAUAUUUGAAAAAUGCAAUGAAAAUUCUAGCUAUUCUUUUGGGCUUGGCUUUCGAAACGAGUAUGGGACAAUAGCAAACUAGUGGAGUUUUGCGAGCACGAGAGGAGCUUGAAUCUGGUUUCAAGCUUUGCUUGGGUUUUCAGUUAUUGUCCAUUCAUUAUCUUUUUGAAUCGUGACAGAGAUACUUCCGAGAUCGAGGUAUUGGUUAGAGGUUGUCCGGGUUAGAUCCAUUCGAAGUUUCGUUUCUAGCUCAAGGUUCUGGUCUUUAGUUUGUUAUUGAAUUACUCCAUCGGGGAUUUUCGUUUGUUAUUCACGUUAAGAGAUAAGCAGCAGUAAAGGUCCAUCUCUUAAUUCUCUUAUUACCUCUUCAAUUUGGUGGCAUAAAAUAUGAUAUUGAGUUUUAGUUUAGAUUGCAUUUAACAUGAAAUCUCUACUAUUGUUGUUGUUGUUGCAUUUUCAAUUGGAAUCUGUUAGUUUUAUAUUUGUUGUGGUGGUAAAUGAAUGCUCUGUUUCAUGUGUCAUUCUUAUGUGAUUGACUCCGCAAAGAAUUGAAUUUCAUGGUUGUUUACUUUAUGCUCGUAUCUAUCACUGCUUAUGGUUUGUACAGGCUACUUUAUGUCGUUAGUGAAAUCUGGUUGUCUAAACACUUAGGAAAUUUUGGUAUAACCUUAGCUAUGUGUUAAUGGAGGGUUCCAGUUUGAUAAUUUGGUAUUUUGCUAAUUUUGAACAAGUGAAAUCUUUUGUGUAUGGUUUGUGUGAUAUCUUCCUUCUAGUUGAUGAUUUAUGUUUAUUUACUGAUUAAUUGCAAUAUUAUUGUUGGAUGCCUGCAGUAUCACUUUAAAAGUACGGUUUUCGUGGCGUAGUUGUGACACCCAAUUAGUGUUAAAUAUAACCAUCCCUAGUUAAAUGUUUUUCUUUAAUAAAUUUAAGUUGUGCCAUCCAAGCACUUAGCAUAUGGCCCUCACUUGCUUAAUGUUAAUCCUUUGGAAAUUGAGGCGUGCCAUUUAGCGAAUUUUCCAUGGCUCUCACAAACUUGAAAAUGCAUAGUUGCUUUAGGCGCGUUAGUUUAAUAAUUUGCCUUCCUAAACUCGGGUGCGCAUUUAUGUGACCCAAAUCCAAAUCUCAACAAUGUUAGAUAAAAUAUGUCAAGGACCGCGAGUGCAUUUAUGUGACGUGGUUCAAGAUGUGUUUUAGAUGACAUUGAAUAUUUCCUAAAAAUAAUAAUUCAAUAAAAGCGUCUCAAAAGUUUAAAAUUGCACCGUAGGUUAAAUUAUGUAUUAAAAUCAUAUAAUAGGCUAAUUAUAAUAGUUUAGCGACCAUGCUAUAACUACGAAACUCGCGAAUGACUAAUACCUUUUUCCGGGUUAAUAGAAUUCCUUACUCGAAUUUAUGUGUUCGCAGACUGUGAAACAGAGUCAAUCGUUUCCUCGAUUCAGGAUUUGAAUCGAUAACUUGUGACACUAUAAAUAUUCCAAGUGGCGACUUUGAAAUAUUAGUAAAAUAAUCCCGUUUCAAUUGUCACUUUAUGUUAAAAAAACUCCUUUAUACCUUCUUCCGGGGGUUUAGGAAAAAAAAGAGGCGUGACAGCUCUGGCGAUUGACAAGAACCCAGAAUUUCUGGUUCAGAGUUCAAGAAUUCGAGCUUAGAAUAGUUGUUGUAUUUGGCUUUGUUUAUUAUAUGAUUUAUUACAUGGUUGGGCCUAAUGUGCUAAAUGUUGCUUUUUACCGCUUUGAUAUUCUCGGAAAUGUAUAUAUAAACUGCUACGAAACCCCUUUCUUCUUUCUCCUGAGGAGUGCACGUUGGCGUGACUUCUUUCUGUUAGUGUCAUACCCCAAAUAGGAUGACGUUCAGACAAGUUUCAAAGCCGGAUAAUCUUUUGGUUUGUGGUACGCAGCCCCCCCCUGGCUCGAGCUGUCCACUCAGUUAAGCCAUGUCUAGAAUAAAUAAACUCUGGUUUUUAAACAUAAUAACUCAGCCUCAUAACGGAUCCUUAGUAGGAAUGUUUGUUUGCAUCACGUGCAUUUCACUUAGGAGACUCAAUAGAAGAGUUGGGUCCGUCUAGGACAAGUGUACCAAAAAUGAUAGACCAUCCUGAUACAUCCUAUGUGCUACAUGUUACCUUUCUUGAGGGGUAAAAGAGACGUUUGACAGACCAAUGAUAGUUGAGGGCAAAAUGAAAAAUAAGACCGAGAGGUUGAAGUGUGAAAUAAAGCGAGUAGGGCUCAAUCAUGUUUUCUGUUACAUUUAUAUUAAGAAAAAGACAAAAAAGAAAAGGAUGAAAAAUUAAAAUCUUUAUUACACUAUUUCAUAUUUUUCAAAAAUCAAAAAUCAAAAAAGGUGGGAAAAGAAAAUCUAAAAAGAGUACAUGUUUCAUCCUUUUUCAAAACAAAAGAUAAAAAAAUAUGUCUUCUCUUAAUUAGUUGUUUUUUUGUUAUUUCUCGACCGUAUCCAAUCUACCCAAACUACGCAUACUUGAUUUUCGUCUUUCGGGGCGUAAUACGUAGGCAACCCACAUAGGGUCCAGUCUUCUUAGUAAAUCUUAGGUUCUUGGCUUUGCGGGAUCUUAGCCAAAUUUUGUACCUCUAACCACCUUCUGACCAAAUAAGCCAUUUUGCAAAAAUAACCUCAAUCAUGUCUUACAUGUGUCCAAUAAGGAGUGUUAUUGUCUCACAUAGUGUUGGUUUAUAGUUUCUUCAUACAGGUGUGGAUUUAUCUACCAGAGUUUGAGCAUAACAGAUAUCCUAGGAUCACUGCAUUCAGGAGCUGCUCGAG
RNAcentral lists this long non-coding RNA (3228 nucleotides) under Nicotiana benthamiana. Its description in RNAcentral is "long non-coding RNA (NBEN_LNC028429)". Lineage: Eukaryota; Viridiplantae; Streptophyta; Magnoliopsida; Solanales; Solanaceae. The record is from RNAcentral.